GACGAACGCUGGCGGCGUGCUUAACACAUGCAAGUCGAGCGGUAAGGCCCUUUCGGGGGUACACGAGCGGCGAACGGGUGAGUAACACGUGGGUGACCUGCCCUCAGCUCUGGGAUAAGCCCGGGAAACUGGGUCUAAUACCGGAUAUGACUCCAUGACGCAUGUUGUGGGGUGGAAAGCCUUGUGCGGCUGAGGAUGGGCCCGCGGCCUAUCAGCUUGUUGGUGGGGUGANGGCCUACCAAGGCGACGACGGGUAGCCGGCCUGAGAGGGCGACCGGCCACACUGGGACUGAGACACGGCCCAGACCCCUACGGGAGGCAGCAGUGGGGAAUCUUGCGCAAUGGGCGAAAGCCUGACGCAGCGACGCCGCGUGAGGGAUGACGGCCUC
RNAcentral lists this ribosomal RNA (389 nucleotides) under uncultured bacterium. Its description in RNAcentral is "bacterial SSU rRNA". It matches the Rfam family "Bacterial small subunit ribosomal RNA", at positions 28 to 418 of the family's 1533-position model. The record is from RNAcentral.